Molecule: long non-coding RNA, 1963 nt
Organism: Herpailurus yagouaroundi (jaguarundi)
Lineage: Eukaryota; Metazoa; Chordata; Mammalia; Carnivora; Felidae
Exons: 4
Source: RefSeq, a predicted model, not a curated record
CUGUGAUAACAGCGGAUGUUCACAAGGUCUAGUUCAGGCUCAGGACAUUUCGUACAGUGCGAGGCUGUUGGGGUGAAUGCUGUUUUCAUGUGGGCGUAUGGAUUCACUCGCCGUGUUGCAAGCAGCAGAGAGGGGGCUGACGCUGGUCUGAGCGCGGCUGAGGGUGGACAGGUUCCACAGCUCUCAGGGCUAAGGGCCCGGACCUGGAGCCAGGUUUCCCGUGUGACUUGCACCGUGUGACUCACUGUUGCCGUGCCUCGGUUUCCCUGCGCAGAAAACGGGUGUGCUUGCUCCUAGUACUUUCCUCUGGGAGGUGUUUUGAGGAUGGAAUGCGUGCAACCCUGCGAGGCUUUGUCUCUGCAGGCCUGGAAGACAGUAAGCCCUGGAGUCUUCGCUAUGUUGAAGCCCGGAAGAAAGUGCUGGAGAAAUGUGCUCAGCCGGCACCGGUCACUGGUUGUCUCUGAAGAGUGUUGAUUGUUGAACUCACGCAUUCCACAGCGUUUAACAUUUUUGGAAAAAGGAAUGCAGUCGGGCAGAGAAACAAUUGAUGUCCAAAGGAGACCCUUGUUACCGGCCUUCGAGGAUAGGUCAAUGCCUCCUUCUACUACAUUCCCUGGAAAAAUGGAGCGAAACAAUGCAUUCUGGACUCCACCUCGGGGCGGCCAUGUGGUCGGCCAGCUGCUGCAGAGGCUGUCCCCAGGGAAGGGACCUCCAGUCCCUCCAGGCCCGGGCGAUAGUUCCUGGCAUCCAGGUCCUCCAGGGGCCAACCACAGAAAGCAGGGACCCACUUGGCAUAUCAACAGGAAGCGUUGUUAUUGCCAUGCUUGUGGGCAUGCGCCCGUAUGCACACCCACAGCCCCCCAAACAGAACAAAAGCAAAACCAAAACGUGAUGAAAGAAGCAAUGAGAAAAGGUUGGGGAGGGGGGGCAAAGAAAGGGACAAACAAUGUGUUUGUGGGCCAUAUAAAGCCCGUGAGUUCCCAAUUCCCAAAGCUCUUCCCCAUUUUACAGAUGAGUACGCUGAGAGGCAACAGCGUGCCCAAAGCCACCAGGAGUUAGUGCGUGGUCCGGAAUGAAGUUUCUGAUUUUCUGGCCCAGAGUCUCCCCUCUGUUUUGUCCUUGAGGCCGAGGGUCUGCAGGCUCCAGGGGCAGGACCUCUCAGGAGAGGAACAAGGGCCACCUGCCUCCCCGGCAACCCCCACCCCCACCUUUUCCCAGGAACCCUUUGUGACAGGGGGUGCCCAGUACUCGCGCAUCAGGUAGCUGAUGCUGUCACCCCAGGAGGGGGCCAGGGAUGAGGGACUGGGGCUAUCACGUGAAUACUGGGAUCCGGGUAGACAGAGGCUUCUCUGAAAUUGAAUGUUCAUGGGGAAGGAGGACCGAGGUCAGGUUUGGAGCUAUAGACCAAUCUGGGUUGGAAUGCGAGCUCUUUUCCUUCUAAGGCAGAAGCUGAAAUAGAAAAAAAAAAAAAUUAAGGCGAACACGACGCUGCCGCUCUAAGUGGAGAAGCCGUCUUGCUGGUCAUGAACUGAAGUCACUGGUGAGAAUAAUCACAACCCAAAGCCAAUGGGGUGUUAAAUCCUGGCUGGGAAGGACCUGGGCACAGAGGCGGCUCUCCUUGUGCGAGAAGAAAAAGCAUCAGGGAAGCAUUCGGACCAAUGCCAAAUCAAGACUCGCUCCCUGGUAGGACCAGGAGGGCAUAAGGGGUUAACUUGGGAGUCAUUUCCAUCCUCCGUGAUUCAUUUAAUGCCUCGAGUAAUUCAGAAAGUGAUGCUGGGGGGUCCCCACCCCAUCUCUGUGAGGUUCACACACCAGAACAGGGCGCCUGGGUGAUCCUGUCGGUCCCUCCUGCUGAGGCUGUCAGGAAUCUAGAAGGGCCGGCAGGGCUGGGACAUCGCAGCUGAAUGGGAAGGAAGACAAAGAGAGACAGAGCAUGAGCAGGGGAGGAGCAGAGAGAGAGGAA